CGAAUCUUGAAUAAACGAUCAGAAGAUUAUGGAGAGCAAAAAGUGUGUGUCUGGUUAAUACGCUUCCAUAAAAAUCUUCCCUGAAUAUUCAGCUGACAAUCGAGGGUUGGAGAAUAGUGACCAGAGGGACCGAGUCACCAGAGUAGCAGAUUUACCUUUCAGCUUGGUGUCAGAAGUGGGAUUGUAGCCAAAACCAUUUUGGGUGAGUAGUAAUUCCUUGUGUCUAUCUUGACGCCCUGAAUCUAUGAUCCCCAUGGUUUUGUAAGUCUACAUCAUUUUAGGAAAGGUUAUUUAGUAUAUGUGUUUUCUGUGACUCAGUUUUACAUAAGGUCCCGUUAAAUUAGUCUAGUAAGGGAACUAGACAGAGAGAUAUAUGUAUUUCUAGUAAGUGAACUAGAGAAGGUCUAAUAAGAGAAUUGGACAGAUAAAGUCUAUAAAGUGAUAUAGACAGAGAAUUUAGUAUAUAAGUGAAUAUACUACGAUAGUGUGCACAGAGUUUCAGGUUCACCUUGUCCACCCUCUAAUUGUCAUUAGUUAAGUCUGGUUCUGAGUGUGAAUAAGUGUUUGAAAGAUUUGUCCUAGGAAUGGGAAAUUACCAUGUAAGAAUAUGAAGUAGUUAACUUUUCUUGUUCAUAUGUAUUUUAUGCUUAAAUAAGGUUUAUAAUCAUUAGUGCUGACUGUAAGGAUAUGAAAUAGUUAAACUCUUUUUGCUUUAUAUGCUAGCCCUGAAAAUAUACUCACUGAGAAUCUUGUUAAAGCACAUUUGUAGUGUCCAUGUCUUUAUUGCAAACAAUGACUCUCCAUUAAUUGGGUGAUUGUCUAUAUUGGGGACACACUUUGGUAAGUUAGUAGUGUGUCCACCCUGAGUCAGCAGUAUGGGAAAUGUAAGUUCUGGU
This 896-nucleotide long non-coding RNA is filed under the name Pelobates cultripes (western spadefoot toad). The record is from RNAcentral. Lineage: Eukaryota; Metazoa; Chordata; Amphibia; Anura; Pelobatidae.